This is a long non-coding RNA of Nothoprocta perdicaria, 724 nucleotides long. RefSeq lists it as uncharacterized. NCBI's taxonomy places the organism in Eukaryota, Metazoa, Chordata, Aves, Tinamiformes, Tinamidae. The record is from RefSeq and is a predicted model, not a curated record. The transcript has 3 exons.
AGAGUGGUGCUGUAUCCAAGCUUGAAGGAAGGCUGAGAUCAGCUCUCAUGAGAAGAUACCUCAGCUGGACCCUGCUCCUGCCCUUCAUCACCUGAGUUGAUCUACCAAGUGGCUUCAAAGCUUUGGUGUUCAGCAGAGAUCUCUUUGAAGCUUCCUGUGUUCACCUGAGGUUGCAAAAAAUGAAUGAAGAGAACUAACUCAAUGGGCUUUUUUGAAACAUCUGAUGGAGAUGACCUCUACUAGUUCCAUGAGGGCUCACCAGUGUAUCUCCUGGGGGCUUUGGGAGGAUUCACCAAACUCCUCUUGAGAGGAUUCAAGCUGUGGGAGUAGAGGGCAAAGCACUAGCCCCAAGGAAGCCCUGGCAAGGGAGCAUAUGGUGGCCUGUGAGAUCUUAAGAAUAAAAAUUCCAGCUUGGGAAGAAGCAGCACUCCAAGCAUGGCAGUCUUUGCAAGAGGUGAUUUUUUUUCCACCUGCAGAAGAACACUUUACCAAAGCUUGUCAUGUAUAUCCCAUGACUUUUCUUUUUUUCAGUCAGGAAAUAAAUAACACUGACAGCCUCCUAAUCUCAAAUCAAAUGCAUCUUGAUUGAGCAUAACAAGGGGAAAAUUGAUGGGAUUGAUAGGAGCAGUGUCUCGGGGAUGUAUGUCCCCAAUCCUGCCAGGCACUGAGCUCCUCCAGGGAAAUCCUAGAUGUUCCCUGCCCUGGAUGGACAGGGAGCCCUCAG